CUGAGGAGUGGUGUUAGGGAGGGAGGAGGGUAGGGUGGUCACCCCUUAUUCACAGUUUCUCCCAUCUCCUCUUCUCUUCUGUAACGUAGCUCCAGCUGAUCUUAGUUAGGUAGUUAAUGGAUCGAAAUGUUCAAACAACCUAGUUUUGCAGCAGAAGCAAUUUUGCCAAAAGAAAAAAAAACGAGAGAAGAGGAAGCAUGAUAAGAUCCUUCCUGAGGAGCUCUUCCCAGCAGUCAUCAACCUCAACCAGUUCCUCUCUCCAGAACAUUACAUUGACUACAUCGCCUGGGACAUGGCCCGGAACUGCAAGAGACAUCUGACGUUCUGAGUAGCUCUGGGGUUUCUCGCUUGGAGGCUACCAUGCUGCUCUCUGGAGGGCCAGCCUUCUAAGACAACCACAAUUUUUUUUUAAAGCAGGAAAGAGAAUGGAAGAAAAGGAUUUUGGGCUCUGCUGGGGAAGAGGCAGGACAAUACUGGUUACUCAGCCAGCCUUGGUUGGCCUGUAACCUUGUCUCCUGUAUGAGAUGUCAGCAUGACCGCUUAUAUAAUCUGUUAUCAGGCUAGUACAGCUAGGUCUUAAUACUGUAUCUCUAGCUUUGAUUAGAUUGCAUCUUGAGUUCAACCCCAUCAAAUCAAGACAUGGAUGGAAAAAACAUUAGCGUAUGAUGCUUUGCAUAAGAGCAUGGGGCUGGACUUGGCAAUGAAGCAAGCCUAGAGUGACUAAAUUGAUAAGCAGAGAAGAUUGGAUGUUAAUCUGGAUGGUAAUGAAAGAGAGGCUCUACUCAUAGCAUAUGUUCCUCUGGUUGUUAUCAUAGAGUGCUUUAGGCCAUUGUGGAAUUGGAUAAUUACUCCUUGAUGCACCUGUCCUAAAUGUGUUCAGAUUCAGAAACUUAAGAGUUGUGCCAUCUCUAGAAAAUUGGAGUAUAAAAGUUCAACAAACAUACUAAACAUACCCUCCUCGGAUGGGGAGACCUUGCUGGAUGUCUCACCUCAAGUGGGCACAUAUCAACUUACUGUUUUCCUGUGGCUUGGCUGCUCCUAGCAUGACAGCCAUGUUUUUUCCCCUAAACUGUUUUGUAGCUUAUAUAAAUAAGGAAUGAUGGAUUAAAGAUGUUGUCUUGUCAUGUA
Long non-coding RNA from Oncorhynchus tshawytscha (Chinook salmon), 1128 nucleotides. The record is from Ensembl. NCBI's taxonomy places the organism in Eukaryota, Metazoa, Chordata, Actinopteri, Salmoniformes, Salmonidae.